AUUGAACGCUGGCGGCAGGCCUAACACAUGCAAGUCGAGCGGAGCGGCGGACGGGUGAGUAAUGCCUAGGAAUCUGCCUGGUAGUGGGGGAUAACGUCCGGUAACGGGCGCUAAUACCGCAUACUAUCAGAUGAGCCUAGGUCGGAUUAGCUAGAUGGUGGGGUAAAGGACUAACAAGGCGACGAGCCGGAACUGGUCUGAGAGGAUGAUCAGGCAAACGGGAACUGAGACACGGUCCAGACGCCUACGGGAGGCAGCAGGGGGGAAUAGUGGACAAUGGGCGAAAGCCUGAGCCAGCCAUGCCGCGUGUGUGAAGAAGGUCUUCGGAUUGUAAAGCACUUUAAGUUUGGAGGCGUUACCAACAGAAUAAGCACCGGCUAACUUCGUGCCAGCAGCCGCGGUAAUUC
RNAcentral lists this ribosomal RNA (407 nucleotides) under uncultured bacterium. Its description in RNAcentral is "partial 16S ribosomal RNA". It matches the Rfam family "Bacterial small subunit ribosomal RNA", at positions 29 to 526 of the family's 1533-position model. The record is from RNAcentral.